Molecule: long non-coding RNA, 355 nt
Organism: Perognathus longimembris pacificus (Pacific pocket mouse)
Lineage: Eukaryota; Metazoa; Chordata; Mammalia; Rodentia; Heteromyidae
Exons: 3
Source: RefSeq, a predicted model, not a curated record
AUGUCUCGCACUGGCUGCACUUCCUUGCCAUCCCACCCAAAUAACCAUCAUGGUUGCUCAGCCAAUACACCAUGCCAGCUGCUAUCCAGGGUGCAAAGAACAUAGCAUGCUCCUUGCCUUCAGGGACCUUUGCCUGAGAAGCUAAGGCCCCAUAAUACCUCUGAGCACUGACUGUCCCCUGACAGUCUGGGCGUGAAAUCUCUGCCCUGAGAAGAAAAGACUGGCAGGCCCCAUGGCCUCAGGCCUCCACCCAACAGGAAGAGUCUCCUGGUAGAGUCAUGCCCGAAUUCUGUCAGUCUAAGCCUGAGCCCUUCCUACUAGGAACCGUAGGAGUUACGGGAUACACUUUCCUGUG